RNAcentral lists this transfer RNA (87 nucleotides) under Pneumocystis jirovecii. RNAcentral's name for it is "tRNA-Ser". The record is from RNAcentral. Lineage: Eukaryota; Fungi; Ascomycota; Pneumocystomycetes; Pneumocystales; Pneumocystaceae.
UGGAUGGAUUCUUUGUGGUUUGUAUACUUGUCUGACUGCUCUUCUGUAUUAAAGACUUUCUUUUGUGUUUAUUCCCCUUUUAUUCUU